GUUCUCCGCCAUCGGCCCCGACUUGGCUCAGUACUGCCCCCAAUACAAACAUAGAAGCGUCUGUGUGAAGAAGAAAAUGUUUAGUUGGAUUGGGAGCUGCCAAGACAGGGGCAUUUCUAAGUGAAUUUUUCAAUUGAUGGAAUGCCUGCUCACACUCCGGGGUCCAGGUUACUUGGCGGGGAAGGUUUUUCCAGGUAAGAUCAAUAAGGGGCUUGGCCAGGGCGCUAUAGUUGGGAACAAACUUCCUAUAGUACCCUGCCGUCCCUAAAAAGGCUAACACCUGAGUCUUCAUUCUGGGAGUUGGCCACUGGGC
Molecule: non-coding RNA, 313 nt
Organism: Pelobates cultripes (western spadefoot toad)
Lineage: Eukaryota; Metazoa; Chordata; Amphibia; Anura; Pelobatidae
Source: the annotation of a GenBank genome assembly